GCUCAGAUUGAACGCUGGCGGCAGGCCUAACACAUGCAAGUCGAGCGGGGAGAGGUAGCUUGCUACCUGACCUAGCGGCGGACGGGUGAGUAAUGCUUAGGAAUCUGCCUAUUAGUGGGGACAACAUUCCGAAAGGAAUGCUAAUACCGCAUACGCCCUACGGGGGAAAGCAGGGGAUCUUCGGACCUUGCGCUAAUAGAUGAGCCUAAGUCAGAUUAGCUAGUUGGUGGGGUAAAGGCCUACCAAGGCGACGAUCUGUAGCGGGUCUGAGAGGAUGAUCCGCCACACUGGGACUGAGACACGGCCCAGACUCCUACGGGAGGCAGCAGUGGGGAAUAUUGGACAAUGGGCGAAAGCCUGAUCCAGCCAUGCCGCGUGUGUGAAGAAGGCCUUUUGGUUGUAAAGCACUUUAAGCGAGGAGGAGGCUACUUAGAUUAAUACUCUAGGAUAGUGGACGUUACUCGCAGAAUAAGC
Molecule: ribosomal RNA, 474 nt
Filed under: Acinetobacter sp. T45
Lineage: Bacteria; Pseudomonadati; Pseudomonadota; Gammaproteobacteria; Moraxellales; Moraxellaceae
Description: bacterial SSU rRNA
Rfam family: Bacterial small subunit ribosomal RNA
Source: RNAcentral